UACGUAGGUGGCAAGCGUUGUCCGGAUUUAUUGGGUUUAAAGGGUGCGUAGGCGGUCCUAUAAGUCAGUGCUGAAAUAUCCCGGCUUAACCGGGAGGGUGGCAUUGAUACUGUGGGACUUGAGUAAAGUUGAGGUUGGCGGAAUUGACGGUGUAGCGGUGAAAUGCUUAGAUAUCGUCAAGAACACCUAUUGCGAAGGCAGCUAACUAAGCUUUAACUGACGCUGAGGAGCGAAAGCGUGGGGAGCGAACAGG
This 253-nucleotide ribosomal RNA is filed under the name uncultured bacterium. RNAcentral describes it as "partial 16S ribosomal RNA". It matches the Rfam family "Bacterial small subunit ribosomal RNA", at positions 524 to 776 of the family's 1533-position model. The record is from RNAcentral.